Armigeres subalbatus is the source of this 1996-nucleotide long non-coding RNA. RefSeq lists it as uncharacterized. The transcript is spliced from 6 exons. Lineage: Eukaryota; Metazoa; Arthropoda; Insecta; Diptera; Culicidae. The record is from RefSeq and is a predicted model, not a curated record.
UUCGCGAAAAUUUGGCCUCCGAUUCGGUCGCGAGUGUUAUAACGGUUGCAGUGCGAACUGUUCAGAGAAAAUCGGUUCUCAGAGAAAAGCGGUCCGCAAUCGGUAACGUCUCUAACCGCGCGGGCCAUUGGUCACCAUCCGAACCCACCCCAUCAGCAGAUACCGUUCCUGGCGGCGGAUGCUAUCUCGCCGGCGUCACUGACGCGGUGGCCCAACAGCAGCAGUUUCGGCAAUAACGCAACCGUUCCUCCCUAACGCCCAACAAAGUGAUCUCACUGUAGACCGCAGGAACCGAUGCCACCAAUCUGACGCCAUACGCCACCCUGCCCCAGUUUGGUUUGGAGGCAGCAGCAGUAUUCAUCACAACGCAUUUACCUAAUCCUACGAUGGCAAAAGCAGUGGCCGCGGAUCCCGUUCGGCAACGUGGUGUCCGCCAAGGUGUUCAUCGACAAGCAAACCAACCUGUCCAAGUACUUCGGCUUGGUGUCGUUCGGCAAUGUGGCCUCGGCACAGGCCGCCAUCCAGGCGAUGCACGGUUUCCAGAUCGGCACCACGCGGCUGAAAGUGUAGUUGAAGCGUUCGAAGGACGCUUCGAAACCGUACAAGAGCCGGAAGUGAAAAAAAGUGAGGGAGGAAUUCUAAGCGCUGGUCGCGAAUAUGCUGGUAGUAAAAUCCUGAUUGAGCACGGAGGAGUUCCAGCACUUGGAGGAACCAGGAUGCAAUCGACUUCCAAGUGGCUUCGACAUAUACGAAAAGUUUUAUUCGUCAAAAACCUUGACGAUGACAGUCUGGUAGGAGAGGAUUCGUUUUCUUCAGGCAACCAUACGAGAGAUCGCCUCUAAGCUAGCAAGGACUAGAUGCUUGAGACAAAACCACAUUUUGUCGGAUGGAUUAUUCUACCGGAAGGCAAGCUGCCGUAGUUCAUCUUGAUUUCAGACGGGUCUGACGAAUACGAUGGAAAUAAUUUACAGCACAAAGCUACGAGAAUAAUUUCGGUAUUUUCGAUCCAUCCCGGAUUCCUUAGAGCUGCUCCAAAGCCUGAAUAGCAACCGUGGAGGAACAAUUCUAUGCUUCAUCUUUGUGGGUCUUGGAUCGAAACCCUUGCCACAUCCUUCUCAGAGUAUUCUUCGACUGCGAACGAACCUGCGCCAAACUUUACUGAGGCAAUUGCAUAUUGACUGCUUAGCUGCGCCGAACGUAAUGGAGAAAUCGCGGAACAAACUUCCUCUCUCGGGUAUUUUGGCGCAACGAUUCGGGUAUUCCGUUUGAUUGAUCCUGAUCCCGGAAAAGCCAGACAACGAUGAUUCAUUCCGACAUAAAUAAUUAUUAUUGUAAAACUGGAAGCAGUUUAGAUUUUAAGAUGUAAAUUAUAUUCAAUAAACUACACAGAGAAAAAAAAAGUUGGGAUUCCAACAUUUUCUAAUUUCAUUUUAAAAGUAUGUGAAAUGUGGUACUUUUAAGAGCUAAAACUUUUUAGUCAAAUGUAAAAUUGAAUAAAUUGAAAGUUUUUCUUCAGAUUAAAAUUGUGAUUUUUACAGUGAGUGCACUCAAAUCAAAAUUUGUAGAAUAGUCAAAUUAACUUUCAUAUUAUGCAUCUCUGGCAACACGGACAACGAAAAUAAUGAAACUGGCAGCUUAGCUGACCUGUCAUUAUUGAAAAUAAGAAACAAAAAGUUUACUCAACGUUUGUGCUAAAGACCGAAGAACAGCAUGUAAAGUGACACUAUGUUGACCCUGUUCCUGUACCAUCCGAGAAAGAAUUAGGAAACCGGUGUCAGUCGCGGCAUGUGUCUGAAGAAAGGAUAUGGGAGGUUUUCCCGUGAAGGUUAGAUUCGCAACAUCAUCAUCAUCUUCAUCAUCAUCAAUCACCAGAAUAUCAGAGACCAUCCAGCACAUCGGCUUUAUGAUUCCUCAAGUUUUCAAAAGUUUUCAAUUGUAAAACAUGUGAAAAUGUGUACAGUCUUUUAAUGAAAUGAAUAAAAUAAAAUAAUAAAAU